AGUGAACGCUGGCGGUAGGCCUAACACAUGCAAGUCGAACGGCAGCACAGUAAGAGCUUGCUCUUACGGGUGGCGAGUGGCGGACGAGUGAGGAAUACAUCGGAAUCUACUUUUUCGUGGGGGAUAACGUAGGGAAACUUACGCUAAUACCGCAUACGACCUACGGGUGAAAGCAGGGGAUCUUCGGACCUUGCGCGAUUGAAUGAGCCGAUGUCGGAUUAGCUAGUUGGCGGGGUAAAGGCCCACCAAGGCGACGAUCCGUAGCUGGUCUGAGAGGAUGAUCAGCAACACUGGAACUGAGACACGGUCCAGACUCCUACGGGAGGCAGCAGUGGGGAAUAUUGGACAAUGGGCGCAAGCCUGAUCCAGCCAUACCGCGUGGGUGAAGAAGGCCUUCGGGUUGUAAAGCCCUUUUGUUGGGAAAGAAAAGCAGCAGGUUAAUACCCCGCUGUUCUGACGGUACCCAAAGAAUAAGCACCGGCUAACUUCGUG
This 492-nucleotide ribosomal RNA is filed under the name uncultured bacterium. RNAcentral's name for it is "partial 16S ribosomal RNA". It matches the Rfam family "Bacterial small subunit ribosomal RNA", at positions 29 to 507 of the family's 1533-position model. The record is from RNAcentral.